GACGAACGCUGGCGGCGUGCUUAACACAUGCAAGUCGAACGGAAAGGCCCUGCUUUUGUGGGGUGCUCGAGUGGCGAACGGGUGAGUAACACGUGAGUAACCUGCCCUUGACUUUGGGAUAACUUCAGGAAACUGGGGCUAAUACCGGAUAGGAGCUCCUGCUGCAUGGUGGGGGUUGGAAAGUUUCGGCGGUUGGGGAUGGACUCGCGGCUUAUCAGCUUGUUGGUGGGGUAGUGGCUUACCAAGGCUUUGACGGGUAGCAGGCCUGAGAGGGUGACCGGCCACAUUGGGACUGAGAUACGGCCCAGACUCCUACGGGAGGAAGCAGUGGGGAAUAUGGCACAAUGGGCGGAAGCCUGAUGCAGCAACGCCGCGUGCGGGAUGACGGCCUUCGGGUUGUAAACCGCUUUCGCCUGUGACGAAGCGUGAGUGACGGUAAUGGGUAAAGAAGCACCGGCUAACUACGUG
RNAcentral lists this ribosomal RNA (468 nucleotides) under uncultured bacterium. RNAcentral describes it as "partial 16S ribosomal RNA". It matches the Rfam family "Bacterial small subunit ribosomal RNA", at positions 28 to 507 of the family's 1533-position model. The record is from RNAcentral.